AAAUGGUUUGGCAGAAGUACAUAUUGAUGACCUAUCCUCGAAGGGAUGGAAGAGGACAUGCAAUGGAAUAAUUUUUCAUAGCACAUCGUACCACCGCCAAUUGUACCGUCAGUCAGCCCCAUUUUAUCCUAAGGAUAACACUGCAAUAUUAAGAGAAGAUGCAUCCCUCUUCCCAAGCUGCAUAACUAAGGCCCCUUGCAGAUGAGCGUGUCCGGAUGCGUUCAGUGAAAACUGCGCAAUUUCGCAAAUAAAGCCAUUCAGUUUUGUUUUCGAUCGUGUUCAGUUGUUCUUUUUAUUGCACGGGUGCAAUGCGAUUUACUGCGUUUUGAUAAAAAACAAAAUGUAUACAAACAACAUCUUUUAGCAACCAUCCGUGAAAAUCGCAUCCGCACUUGUUGCGGAUGCGAUUUUCACGCAGCCCUAUUCACUUCAAUGGGGCCAGCGUUGCAUGAAAAAGCGCUGAAUAUAGAACAUGCUGCGAUUUUCACGCAACGCUAAAGUGAUGCGAGAAAACCACUCGCUCAUGUACAGAGACCCAUUUAAAAGAAUGCGUCCGGAUUCAAGUGCGGGUGCGAUGCGUUUGCAUCACGCAUUGCGCCCGUGCGGAAUUCUAGCUCGUGUGAAAGGGGCCUAAGAGUUUGCCAUACAGGAGUCUUGGAAAGAGCCUUGAGGCUGUAAUGGUGGCCAUAUAGAUUGUCAGCAAGCCUUCCCACAACUAGAUCUAGCCAAGAAAACAGCUGAACCUUAAAGGUCUUCUCAAAAAGCGACUCGUCUAGGUGAUUUCUUCACGUAUGACUGUAAUUUAAAGACAUUUCAAUAAUAGGUAAGAAAUUUAGCAUUCAGGAAAACCAUUGUAUUCUGAUGGGAGUGACAUCCCCCGGGAAACUGGAACGAGAGGAGACAGACUGUAGAAAUCCAGCAGUGACGCACCAGACGAGGACUCUGGAAC
Long non-coding RNA from Bufo bufo (common toad), 949 nucleotides. RefSeq lists it as uncharacterized. The record is from RefSeq and is a predicted model, not a curated record. The transcript is spliced from 3 exons. Lineage: Eukaryota; Metazoa; Chordata; Amphibia; Anura; Bufonidae.